Long non-coding RNA from Fundulus heteroclitus (mummichog), 915 nucleotides. RefSeq lists it as uncharacterized. The record is from RefSeq and is a predicted model, not a curated record. The transcript has 4 exons. NCBI's taxonomy places the organism in Eukaryota, Metazoa, Chordata, Actinopteri, Cyprinodontiformes, Fundulidae.
AUUACUGUGUUUGGUGCUGGCAUCUGCAGGCCUCUGCUGUUUUUAGAGUUUUAGUCUGAAUUCUGAGGUAAGGCUUUGAAUAGCAGUUUCAGUCAUUGUGGCCUGCUUGCAGAAGUAUAUAUCUUCUGUUGCUGUUAUUACAAUAUAUUUUAUUUAUUUGUUUCAGCGCCAACAACGGCUGAACUAGAAGACCUAAAUUUUACACUAACGGAUAUUGAUCUUACCGAGAAAGGGUUAAUUGACGAGCAUUACGGUUGUCCGAACCAGCCAAAUCAGAAUGACUUCCGCAAAGAGCCAGCGGUGAUACAACCUGGACCGAGCAGAGCGCAAACGCCCAGUGAAGCAAGACUGUGUCCGAAGCCAAUCAACCCGAGUGUGUUCCAUGGAGAGCUAGCAGUGAUACAGCCUGGACCGAGCAGAGCGCAAACGCCCAGUGAAGCAAGAUUGUGUCCGAAGCCAGUCAAACCGAGUGUGUUCCGCAAAGAGCUAGCGGUGAUACAUCAUGGAUCGAGCAGACCACAUACACCCCGUAAAGGAAGAUUGAGUUUAGCUAAAAGGAGGCUCCCAGCAGAAAUAGCUGCUCAGAACACAUCAACACCGAAGCGGCAGAGGACUGAAGAACAAAACCGGUCAGUUGUUGUAAUAAGUUCUCCAGAGACAUCAGAGCAACACAUUCGCUUCCCCAAGGAAGCUCCCCGGCUCACCACGUCACACGGCCUCCCUCGAAACGUUAAUCAGGGGACAACGCUUCCUGCAGCACUAACAACCCACCGUGACAUUCUUGCUCAAGCACUCUUUACGGCAGGAAUACAGCCUCAUCCCGAUACAUUUGGCCAGACGGACGUAACAAUUCAGUCUGUACAUGAGAAUAUUGACACCGAGCUAGUAGAAGCGGCGGCAGCAGCAGAGGCAGCC